AGCAGCUUGGCUCACUGGAAAGAGCAGGGGCUUGGGAGCCAGAGGUCAUGGGUUCGAAUCCCAGAUCUGCCA
Non-coding RNA from Ornithorhynchus anatinus (platypus), 72 nucleotides. NCBI's taxonomy places the organism in Eukaryota, Metazoa, Chordata, Mammalia, Monotremata, Ornithorhynchidae. The record is from Rfam.